UAGGGAAUCUUCCACAAUGGGCGAAAGCCUGAUGGAGCAACGCCGCGUGUGUGAUGAAGGGUUUCGGCUCGUAAAACACUGUUGUAAGAGAAGAAUGACAUUGAGAGUAACUGUUCAAUGUGUGACGGUAUCUUACCAGAAAGGAACGGCUAAAUACGUGCCAGCAGCCGCGG
Molecule: ribosomal RNA, 173 nt
Filed under: uncultured bacterium
Lineage: Bacteria
Description: partial 16S ribosomal RNA
Rfam family: Bacterial small subunit ribosomal RNA
Source: RNAcentral